Paramisgurnus dabryanus is the source of this 455-nucleotide long non-coding RNA. RefSeq lists it as uncharacterized. Lineage: Eukaryota; Metazoa; Chordata; Actinopteri; Cypriniformes; Cobitidae. The record is from RefSeq and is a predicted model, not a curated record.
GAAGAUUUGAGCAGUGAACGGGGGUGUCCUGAGAACAUUGUGACAUGUGUACAAGAUGUCAGACAAUAGGCUACUGAUGGUACCAGAUGUGAUGACCAACAUAACCUUCAGAAAUGAAUUGAACAAAUGUUUCUUAGUCUUCAUCGAAAAGCCAGCCUUUAUAAUCACACUGAAUCCAGCAACACCCUCACCAAGAAGAUUUUUUUGAUGUAUACAUGUCAAAAGUGCACCUUCAAGAAACAAAGAUCACUGUGAUGAGGGAGAUGAGACACUACUGCACCGCACCUAUCUCAGAAGCCUGGCUAGGAACAUCGGGAAAAUUAUAUCAGAAAUGUCUUCAUGCAAAAACAGUGGCAGUUUAAGUGAAGAGUGUCAUCGCUGGCUACUGUGUCUUCUUCAGAAAAGGCUUGCAGAUGUAGAGAAGAAGUUCCAAGUUUGCUCAAGUUACAGCCAGG